UACGAAGGGUGCAAACGUUGCUCGGAAUUAUUGGGCGUAAAGCGCACGUAGGCGGCUUAGCAAGUCGGAAGUGAAAUCCCUCGGCUCAACCAAGGAAGUGCUUUCGAAACUGCUGAGCUUGAGUACUUAAGAGGAUCGCGGAAUUCCCGGUGUAGAGGUGAAAUUCGUAGAUAUCAGAAGGAACACCGUGGCGAAAGCGGCUUCCCUGGUCCAGCACCGGACCGUUCAGGCACGGAAAGCGUGGGGAGCAAACAGGG
RNAcentral lists this ribosomal RNA (257 nucleotides) under uncultured bacterium. RNAcentral describes it as "partial 16S ribosomal RNA". It matches the Rfam family "Bacterial small subunit ribosomal RNA", at positions 524 to 777 of the family's 1533-position model. The record is from RNAcentral.